GAUGUUUCAGGUGCCGUCGUGCACGAGCAAACAUGAGCUGACCAGCAGAGUGGCCAUCGCACAUGUGCUCAACAAAGUAGAUUCAUCCUGGUUUAAUGAGACGUGGCUCAGCAGGAUAAAAGAGGAUGGUGGCACAAACUGGAGGCUGAAGGUCAGCAACCUCAAGAAGAUCCUGCAGGGCAUGAUGGAGUAUUAUCAUGACGU
Molecule: long non-coding RNA, 204 nt
Organism: Sinocyclocheilus grahami
Lineage: Eukaryota; Metazoa; Chordata; Actinopteri; Cypriniformes; Cyprinidae
Exons: 3
Source: RefSeq, a predicted model, not a curated record